RNAcentral lists this ribosomal RNA (207 nucleotides) under uncultured bacterium. Its description in RNAcentral is "partial 16S ribosomal RNA". It matches the Rfam family "Bacterial small subunit ribosomal RNA", at positions 568 to 774 of the family's 1533-position model. The record is from RNAcentral.
GGCGUAGGCGGGUCUUUAAGUCAGGGGUGAAAUCCUGGAGCUCAACUCCAGAACUGCCUUUGAUACUGAAGAUCUUGAGUUCGGGAGAGGUGAGUGGAACUGCGAGUGUAGAGGUGAAAUUCGUAGAUAUUCGCAAGAACACCAGUGGCGAAGGCGGCUCACUGGCCCGAUACUGACGCUGAGGCACGAAAGCGUGGGGAGCAAACA